This 556-nucleotide long non-coding RNA is filed under the name Homo sapiens (human). RNAcentral's name for it is "long non-coding RNA NONHSAT180261.1". The record is from RNAcentral. Lineage: Eukaryota; Metazoa; Chordata; Mammalia; Primates; Hominidae.
CAAGAACUCAUGGACUUUCCUUCACUGAUACUGGCCACUGAUGCAAAUGAGCACCAAGACUGCCAAUAAUUACCAAUGCUGAAAUCCUGGAAACAAAUGGAUGUUACACACAUAGCAAACUUUGAUGGUAAGGCUCCAGCAGAAAGACAUUGGCAAGUGUUAGAGGAAAAGAGGAAAGUUUAUCCAAAAGUUUUAUGGAAAUCCCCAGAAGAAGGACAAUGGAAAGAUCCAGUGGAUUUACUGAUGAGAAGACAAGGUUAUACUCGUGUUUUUACAGGAGAUGGACAAACCGUGUGGAUGCCCUCAAGGUGCAUGAGACCAUGGAAUGGGAGACUGGAGGAACCCAGGGUGGCCAACCAUGGGCUUCGCCCCUUGGUAUGAGCCAUGAGCCAGCUGAGCCUGAGUGUGAAGACAGGGAGAAGGCUGACUAGAGUCACGACGACAUCAACCCAAUAACUUGGGGGCAACUCAAGAAAACCAUGCAGGAAGCUGAGAAACAAGUGGAGCAUCAAAACCAGACAAAAACCCCUAAUUACAUGUUCAUGGCCAUGUUAGC